GCCUGAAUAGCUCAGUUGGUUAGAGCGUGGUGCUGAUAACACCAAGGUUGCAGGUUCAGUCCCCCUAUGGGGCA
Molecule: non-coding RNA, 74 nt
Organism: Podarcis lilfordi (Lilford's wall lizard)
Lineage: Eukaryota; Metazoa; Chordata; Lepidosauria; Squamata; Lacertidae
Source: the annotation of a GenBank genome assembly